RNAcentral lists this transfer RNA (72 nucleotides) under Camelus bactrianus (Bactrian camel). It matches the Rfam family "tRNA". Rfam says of the family: Transfer RNA (tRNA) molecules are approximately 80 nucleotides in length. Their secondary structure includes four short double-helical elements and three loops (D, anti-codon, and T loops). Further hydrogen bonds mediate the characteristic L-shaped molecular structure. tRNAs have two regions of fundamental functional importance: the anti-codon, which is responsible for specific mRNA codon recognition, and the 3' end, to which the tRNAs corresponding amino acid is attached (by aminoacyl-tRNA synthetases). tRNAs cope with the degeneracy of the genetic code in two manners: having more than one tRNA (with a specific anti-codon) for a particular amino acid; and 'wobble' base-pairing, i.e. permitting non-standard base-pairing at the 3rd anti-codon position. The record is from Rfam by way of RNAcentral. RNAcentral also lists the same sequence under 3 other names. Lineage: Eukaryota; Metazoa; Chordata; Mammalia; Artiodactyla; Camelidae.
GUGGGUAUAGCUCAGUGGUAGAGCAUGUGCUUGGCAUCCACGAAGUCCUGAGUUCAAUCUCCAGUACCUCUA